UGAUUCCAAAUAUAGACCUUGUUUUAUUCUGUUUAUAUAAAAUAAUGAAAACCUCUUAUGAAAGAUUUGCAUUGGAUAGCGAGGUGCAUUUUUGGUCCCAAGCAUGUGAAAAUGUUUGCUUAGAAAUCAACUGAUGUUUUCAUUUUUUAUUUUCAAACUGAAUUCUUGUCCAAGAACUCCUGGUAGUAGAAAGUUUUUCAGGGACUUCAUUUGUUUGAUUAA
RNAcentral lists this unclassified non-coding RNA (222 nucleotides) under Hevea brasiliensis (rubber tree). Lineage: Eukaryota; Viridiplantae; Streptophyta; Magnoliopsida; Malpighiales; Euphorbiaceae. The record is from RNAcentral.